This 534-nucleotide ribosomal RNA is filed under the name uncultured bacterium. RNAcentral's name for it is "bacterial SSU rRNA". It matches the Rfam family "Bacterial small subunit ribosomal RNA", at positions 8 to 526 of the family's 1533-position model. The record is from RNAcentral.
AGAGUUUGAUCCUGGCUCAGGGUUAACGCUGGCGGCGUGCCUAACACAUGCAAGUCGAACGAGGGCUCGUCUCCCGCAAGGGAGACGGGUUCCUAGUGGCAGACGGGUGAGUAACACGUGGGCAACCUGUCCUUUCGUGGGGGAUAACACCGAGAAAUCGGUGCUAAUACCGCAUGUCAUCACCGGGGGCAUCCUCGGUGAGAAAAGCAGCAAUGCACGAGAGGGUGGGCCCGCGGCCUAUCAGCUAGUCGGUGGGGUAACGGCCUACCGAGGCUUUGACGGGUAGCUGGUCUGAGAGGAUGACCAGCCACACUGGGACUGAGACACGGCCCAGACUCCUACGGGAGGCAGCAGUGGGGAAUAUUGCGCAAUGGGCGAAAGCCUGACGCAGCGACGCCGCGUGGGUGAUGAAGGCCUUCGGGUCGUAAAGCCCUGUCGCAGGGGAAGAACAAGCAUCGGGACAAUACCCCGGUGCCCUGACGGUACCCUGCAAGAAAGCACCGGCUAACUCCGUGCCAGCCGCCGCGGUAAUAC